GGCUCAGUGGUCUAGGGGUGUGAUACUCGCUUCGGGAGCGAGUGGUCCCGGGUUCGAGUCCCGGCUGGGACC
Non-coding RNA from Echinostoma caproni, 72 nucleotides. The record is from Rfam. Lineage: Eukaryota; Metazoa; Platyhelminthes; Trematoda; Plagiorchiida; Echinostomatidae.